Molecule: ribosomal RNA, 610 nt
Filed under: uncultured bacterium
Lineage: Bacteria
Description: bacterial SSU rRNA
Rfam family: Bacterial small subunit ribosomal RNA
Source: RNAcentral
CUACGGGAGGCAGCAGUAAGGAAUAUUGGUCAAUGGGCGCAAGUCUGAACCAGCCAUGCCGCGUGCAGGAUGACGGCCCUCUGGGUUGUAAACUGCUUUUAUACGGGAAGAAACCUCUGGUUGCGAUCAGAGCUGACGGUACCGUAAGAAUAAGGACCGGCUAACUUCGUGCCAGCAGCCGCGGUAAUACGAAGGGUCCAAGCGUUAUCCGGAUUUAUUGGGUUUAAAGGGUGCGUAGGCGGCUUAUUAAGUCAGUGGUGAAAGACUUCAGCUUAACUGAAGAACUGCCAUUGAUACUGAUGAGCUUGAAUAUACUUGAGGUGGGCGGAAUGUGUCAUGUAGCGGUGAAAUGCUUAGAUAUGACACAGAACACCGAUCGCGAAGGCAGCUCGCUAAAGUAUGAUUGACGCUGAUGCACGAAAGCGUGGGGAGCAAACAGGAUUAGAUACCCUGGUAGUCCACGCCCUAAACGUUGAUAACUCGAUGUGUGCGAUAUACAGUACGCGUCCAAGCGAAAGCAUUAAGUUAUCCACCUGGGAAGUACGGUCGCAAGAUUGAAACUCAAAGGAAUUGACGGCUUGAGACGNGCGAGGACGACACGAGGGAGAGG